UUUCUAUGGAGUAUCAUAGUAUAAGAGAAAAAAAGCUGAGUGAAUUGACAAAACAGCUUUUGAUUAUAUCUUAGUUCUAUCUAGUUUUCAGAGAUUGUUUGCGCCAAUAGGCGCGCAAUUUCUGAAAAAGAAAAUCGUUCUUUGAAAACUGAAUAUUAGAUGAAAAAAUAGACAUUUAAUUUUUCUUACGUUUAACAAUAAAACGUAAAAAUAGUAACUAAAAUUACUAAGAAAAACUAAAAUUUCAAUUAUAUUAUAUAGAUUAUUUAUAAAUGCAAAU
This 280-nucleotide unclassified non-coding RNA is filed under the name Spiroplasma sp. GSU5508. Its description in RNAcentral is "partial 16S-23S ribosomal RNA intergenic spacer". Lineage: Bacteria; Bacillati; Mycoplasmatota; Mollicutes; Entomoplasmatales; Spiroplasmataceae. The record is from RNAcentral. RNAcentral also lists the same sequence under 3 other names.